UACAGAGGUCCCGAGCGUUGUUCGGAUUCACUGGGCGUAAAGGGUGCGUAGGUGGCCUGAUAAGUUUGAUGUGAAAGCUCAGGGCUUAACCCUGAAAUGGCAUUGAAUACUGUCGGGCUGGAGGUUUGGAGGGGGGACUGGAAUUCUUGGUGUAGCAGUGAAAUGCGUAGAUAUCAAGAGGAACACCAGUGGCGAAGGCGAGUCCCUGGACAACACCUGACACUGAGGCACGAAAGCUAGGGGAGCAAACAGG
RNAcentral lists this ribosomal RNA (253 nucleotides) under uncultured bacterium. RNAcentral describes it as "partial 16S ribosomal RNA". It matches the Rfam family "Bacterial small subunit ribosomal RNA", at positions 524 to 776 of the family's 1533-position model. The record is from RNAcentral.